This 301-nucleotide ribosomal RNA is filed under the name uncultured bacterium. Its description in RNAcentral is "partial 16S ribosomal RNA". It matches the Rfam family "Bacterial small subunit ribosomal RNA", at positions 509 to 809 of the family's 1533-position model. The record is from RNAcentral.
CAGUCGCCACGGUAAUACAGAGGGUGCAAGCGUUAAUCGGAAUUACUGGGCGUAAAGCGCGCGUAGGUGGUUUGUUAAGUUGGAUGUGAAAUCCCCGGGCUCAACCUGGGAACUGCAUCCAAAACUGGCAAGCUAGAGUAUGGUAGAGGGUGGUGGAAUUUCCUGUGUAGCGGUGAAAUGCGUAGAUAUAGGAAGGAACACCAGUGGCGAAGGCGACCACCUGGACUGAUACUGACACUGAGGUGCGAAAGCGUGGGGAGCAAACAGGAUUAGAUACCCCCGUAGUCCCUGUCUCUUAUAU